RNAcentral lists this ribosomal RNA (413 nucleotides) under uncultured prokaryote. RNAcentral describes it as "bacterial SSU rRNA". It matches the Rfam family "Bacterial small subunit ribosomal RNA", at positions 505 to 918 of the family's 1533-position model. The record is from RNAcentral.
GUGCCAGCAGCCGCGGUAAUACGUAGGCUCCAAGCGUUGUUCGGAAUUACUGGGCGUAAAGCGAGUGUAGGCUGCUUGCCAAGUCGAUUGUGAAAUCUCCCGGCUCAACCGGGAGGGUGCGGUCGAAACUGACAAGCUGGAGUUCGGGAGGGGAGAGUGGAAUUCCUGGUGUAGCGGUGAAAUGCGUAGAUAUCAGGAGGAACACCGGUGGUGAAGACGGCUCUCUGGACCGAUACUGACGCUGAGACUCGAAAGCGUGGGGAGCAAACAGGAUUAGAUACCCUGGUAGUCCACGCCCUAAACGAUGCGUACUUGGUGUGGGCUCUUCACUGAGUCCGUGCCGGAGUAAACACGUUAAGUACGCCGCCUGGGGAGUACGGUCGCAAGGCUGAAACUUAAAUGAAUUGGCGGGG